AUUCAUAAAAAGUAAAUAAAGGGUCCGGUUGUGUACACUUAACAUAUUGUGGGUUUCGAGUCUGCUUCACGGAGAGAUAAAUAGGUGCGAACAUGACGAAUUGGAGAAAAAAAAUUGCUGCGAACGAACACGACGAAUUGGAGAAAGAAAAAGAGCUGCGAACUUAACGAAUCGGAAAAAGAAAAGAUUGGAGCUUCUUGAUUGGAUUUCGAUUAUUCUGAAUUCGUUCUAGUUCGUUCUUUGAUUGAUUUCGAUUAUUCUUACAAAAUUGGAGAAAGAAAUACAGAGGUUUGGAGGCUUUGUGGCAUUUCUCAUUUACAUGAUCACAACUUUCACCCUCUACAAUCCUGUUUGGAGUUUCAUAGAUCAUAUUAAUGGCGAUGAACCAAGGAGAUACACAGUGAUAUGUGGGAUGAGAGGACACUUAGGUUCUGCAUGUAACUCUGUUGGACAUUUGGUAGUCAAGUUUGGGGGUUAACCAUUUUUAUUCAAAUCUUGUUUGGAGAUACUUAAAGUUUGGUAGGAAUGCAGAUUCAGUUCUCCAGGUGAAGGUCCAUUUCGUAAAGAUGCUCCAAGUUGGUGUUGAGCUUCCUUUGAACCCGAGGGAUAUGAUGAGAGCCAGGACGAUCCUACCGGUUCGUACCCUACGGAUGAGAAUGUAGAAGGGAAUGCUUGACUAGAGCUAUGUUAGGAAGAUCUCACGGGGCGCGUGGAGAUCACUCAGGGUGUAUAGCUAUAGUUCUUUUUUGAAGAAUGAUCAGAUUAGGAUGACAUAGAGGGAACAAAUGUUUUUUUGGAUUACGUUAUUUUGAACUGAAAAACUGUACCUUUACUAAUAUUGUCAAUAUGACAUCUUAGUUGAAUGGGUUCCAUGUAUCAUUUGUUGUUGUGUAAAUACUUUGGAUUCAUAUUCUGAGAAAUUUUUCCGCUGCUUGUAAAUUAUAAUGACUCAAUUAUUUAUCCAAAGGUAUUACCUUAUUU
This is an RNA transcript of Cicer arietinum (chickpea), 981 nucleotides long. RefSeq lists it as uncharacterized. The record is from RefSeq and is a predicted model, not a curated record. Lineage: Eukaryota; Viridiplantae; Streptophyta; Magnoliopsida; Fabales; Fabaceae.